RNAcentral lists this ribosomal RNA (875 nucleotides) under uncultured archaeon. Its description in RNAcentral is "bacterial SSU rRNA". It matches the Rfam family "Archaeal small subunit ribosomal RNA", at positions 1 to 873 of the family's 1478-position model. The record is from RNAcentral.
UUUUUCCGGUUGAUCCUGCCAGAGGUUACUGCUAUCGGUGUUCGCCUAAGCCAUGCGAGUCAUAUGUUCUUCGUGAACAUGGCGUACUGCUCAGUAACACGUGGAUAACCUGCCCUUGGGUCUGGGAUAACCCCGGGAAACUGGGGAUAAUACCGGAUAACGCAUAUAUGCUGGAAUGCUUUAUGCGUAAAAUGGAUUCGUCUGCCCAAGGAUGGGUCUGCGGCCUAUCAGGUAGUAGUGGGUGUAAUGUACCUACUAGCCUACAACGGGUACGGGUUGUGAGAGCAAGUGCCCGGAGAUGGAUUCUGAGACAUGAAUCCAGGCCCUACGGGGCGCAGCAGGCGCGAAAACUUUACAAUGCGGGAAACCGUGAUAAGGGGACACCGAGUGCCAGCAUCAUAUGCUGGCUGUCCAGAUGUGUAAAAUACAUCUGUUAGCAAGGGCCGGGCAAGACCGGUGCCAGCCGCCGCGGUAACACCGGCGGCCCGAGUGGUGAUCGUGAUUAUUGGGUCUAAAGGGUCCGUAGCCGGUUUGGUCAGUCCUCCGGGAAAUCUGAUGGCUCAACCAUUAGGCUUUCGGGGGAUACUGCCAGGCUUGGAACCGGGAGAGGUAAGAGGUACUACAGGGGUAGGAGUGAAAUCUUGUAAUCCCUGUGAGACCACCUGUGGCGAAGGCGUCUUACCAGAACGGGUUCGACGGUGAGGGACGAAAGCUGGGGGCACGAACCGGAUUAGAUACCCGGGUAGUCCCAGCCGUAAACGAUGCUCGCUAGGUGUCAGGCAUGGCGCGACCGUGUCUGGUGCCGCAGGGAAGCCGUGAAGCGAGCCACCUGGGAAGUACAGCCGCAAGGCUGAAACUGAAAGGAAUUGGCGGGA